AUACUCUGGUUUCUCUUCAGAUCAUAUCAAUCUUUCGCCUACUACAGAUUUCCAUGGAGAAAAACAAUUGAGUCUUUAUUCAAUUUUUUGAAGGCUUGCGAGUGCUACAGCCA
Molecule: small nuclear RNA, 113 nt
Filed under: Dasypus novemcinctus (nine-banded armadillo)
Lineage: Eukaryota; Metazoa; Chordata; Mammalia; Cingulata; Dasypodidae
Description: U5 spliceosomal RNA (ENSDNOG00000030038.2)
Rfam family: U5 spliceosomal RNA
About the family: U5 RNA is a component of both types of known spliceosome. The precise function of this molecule is unknown, though it is known that the 5' loop is required for splice site selection and p220 binding, and that both the 3' stem-loop and the Sm site are important for Sm protein binding and cap methylation.
Source: RNAcentral